UGGCUGAGCGGUAAAGCGCUUGGCUUCUGAACUGGGGGUCCCGGGUUCGAAUCCUGG
RNAcentral lists this transfer RNA (57 nucleotides) under Biomphalaria glabrata. It matches the Rfam family "tRNA", at positions 8 to 63 of the family's 71-position model. From Rfam's summary of the family: Transfer RNA (tRNA) molecules are approximately 80 nucleotides in length. Their secondary structure includes four short double-helical elements and three loops (D, anti-codon, and T loops). Lineage: Eukaryota; Metazoa; Mollusca; Gastropoda; Planorbidae. The record is from Rfam by way of RNAcentral.